Molecule: ribosomal RNA, 460 nt
Filed under: uncultured bacterium
Lineage: Bacteria
Description: partial 16S ribosomal RNA
Rfam family: Bacterial small subunit ribosomal RNA
Source: RNAcentral
CCUACGGGUGGCAGCAGUGAGGAAUAUUGGUCAAUGGGCGAGAGCCUGAACCAGCCAAGUCGCGUGAAGGAUGAAGGAUCUAUGGUUUGUAAACUUCUUUUAUAUGGGAAUAAAGUGAGGAACGUGUUCCUUUUUGUAUGUACCAUAUGAAUAAGCAUCGGCUAACUCCGUGCCAGCAGCCGCGGUAAUACGGAGGAUGCGAGCGUUAUCCGGAUUUAUUGGGUUUAAAGGGUGCGUAGGUGGUUAAUUAAGUCAGCGGUGAAAGUUUGUGGCUCAACCAUAAAAUUGCAAUUGAUACUGGCAGCCUUGAGUACAGUUGAGGUAGGCGGAAUUCGUGGUGUAGCGGUGAAAUGCUUAGAUAUCACGAAGAACUCCGAUUGCGAAGGCAGCCUACUAAACUGCCACUGACAUUGAUGCUCGAAAGCGUGGGGAGCAAACAGGAUUAGAUACCCUAGUAGUC